UGGUAAUUAGUUUAAAUCAAAACAAAUGAYU
Molecule: transfer RNA, 31 nt
Filed under: Haringtonhippus francisci
Lineage: Eukaryota; Metazoa; Chordata; Mammalia; Perissodactyla; Equidae
Description: partial tRNA-Arg
Source: RNAcentral